RNAcentral lists this long non-coding RNA (792 nucleotides) under Helianthus annuus (common sunflower). The record is from RNAcentral. Lineage: Eukaryota; Viridiplantae; Streptophyta; Magnoliopsida; Asterales; Asteraceae.
UACAUUUUACGAAUAUUAUAAAUGCUUAUUUUUAUCCUGAGCCAAUUUCCAGAGGUAGUUCUGGAUUUUAGGGCUCACGGGGGGACUCCAUUGCUUUGGAAUGUGAGCUAACUUGUUUUAUGAUGCUGCUUGCGUUUUCUUUUACUCACUGCGUUGGUGUCAUUGUAAGAUAUCCUUGUCAUCUUCUACAAAUUUACCAAGAGUUGCAAACUGAGGGAGGGUUUGAAUAUCAUUCCUCCACAACGACUUUUGCUGCCUUGCGAGGCUACUACCGGGGAUUUCCGACUUGUCGAGAGAGAAAUUGAAAAGGCAUUACAAGUGGCUGUUGAAUCACAUGCUAUAACUCUUGGUCAAGUUUGGGUCACUUUUGAGAAUCUUCAUCGUAAGAAGAGACGGCGUUAUUAGGCAAACUUAAAUCUCAUUUUGUUGCUAGUCCCCAUGGGUCGUUGUUUGUUAAAUAGGUUGCAGUCAUGCAUGAUCUGCGCUUGAUACACACCGACUUGAAGCCAGAGGAGAACAUUCUUCUAGUGUCCCUAGAAUAUAUCAAAGUGCCUGAUUACAAGGUUGGAACAUUCUUCAUGCUAUUUAGAGCUAACAAAAUGGACUGUUGGGUAAUGGGUCAAAGUGGGCCCAUGUUAAAAUUGUUAUUUUCACGAGUGGGUAGACCCCGAAGCAUGGUUUUGGAAGUUCAUUUUUUUGUUGAUAAUGUACUUUUUUAUUAAAACUAGAACUACGACCCGCCGCAAUGCGGCGGGGAUUCUUUAGUUAUAACUAAAUCGAUUUAUGACGCGC